RNAcentral lists this ribosomal RNA (373 nucleotides) under uncultured bacterium. Its description in RNAcentral is "bacterial SSU rRNA". It matches the Rfam family "Bacterial small subunit ribosomal RNA", at positions 524 to 898 of the family's 1533-position model. The record is from RNAcentral.
AACGUAGGACGCAAGCGUUAUCCGGAGUUACUGGGCGUAAAGCGCGGGCAGGCGGUCGAUUAAGUCUGAUGUGAAAUCUCCCGGCUCAACCGGGAGCAGCCAUUGGAAACUAGCCGACUGGAGUCUGACAGAGGUAGGCGGAAUUCCGGGUGGAGUGGUGAAAUGCGUAGAGAUCCGGAGGAACACCAGAGGCGAAGGCGGCCUACUGGGUCAGUACUGACGCUGAGCCGCGAAAGCCAGGGGAGCGAACGGGAUUAGAAACCCCGGUAGUCCUGGCCGUAAACGAUGUGUGCUGGGUGGUGGGGGGUUUCCCUUCACUGCCGAAGCUAACGCGAUAAGCACACCGCCUGGGGAGUACGGUCGCAAGGCUAAA